UGCGUAGGCGGUUUUUUUAAGUCAGAUGUGAAAUACCCGGGCUUAACCUGGGGGGUGCAUUUGAAACUGGGGAACUUGAGUGCAGGAGAGGAAAGUGGAAUUCCUAGUGUAGCGGUGAAAUGCGUAGAUAUUAGGAGGAACACCAGUGGCGAAGGCGACUUUCUGGACUGUAACUGACGCUGAGGCACGAAAGCGUGGGGAGCAAACAGGAUUAGAUACCCUGGUAGUCCACGCUGUAAACGAUGGAUACUAGGUGUAGGGGGCGAUAGGCUCUCUGUGCCGCAGCUAACGCAAUAAGUAUCCCGCCUGGGGAGUACGAUCGCAAGGUUGAA
This 332-nucleotide ribosomal RNA is filed under the name uncultured bacterium. RNAcentral's name for it is "bacterial SSU rRNA". It matches the Rfam family "Bacterial small subunit ribosomal RNA", at positions 568 to 898 of the family's 1533-position model. The record is from RNAcentral.